Molecule: long non-coding RNA, 9079 nt
Organism: Clupea harengus (Atlantic herring)
Lineage: Eukaryota; Metazoa; Chordata; Actinopteri; Clupeiformes; Clupeidae
Source: Ensembl
CACUGCACUGCACUGCACUGAAGCCUGGAACUGAAGCCCCUCUCGUGACCACUGCACUGCAGCACUGAAGCCUGGAACUGAAGCCCCUCUCGUGACCACUGCACUGCCUGAUCUGGGAUCAGGCCUGUUUAUCUGAUCAUGAGGUUCCACGGGUGCUGGGUGUUAAAAGUUAAAUCCUUAAAAUGGAUUUUGCACUAUUAGUAUAGGUAUCAAACACACAAAAUGACAAAAUAAGAUGUGUGUUUUGCAAUACAAAUACACCCUCCACCAUAAUGUUCUGAUGACAAAUUAUGCUAUUGAGAGCUUAUGGAGUCUGAUGGACUAUAUGUACAAAAAUACUACAGUCUAAAGUCUGAUGAACCCAGUGAAUGUGAUCGAUCAACCAACCAACCAGGGUGGCGGAUGAACAAAGGGUGCUUUUUACAAACAUACAGUUGCAAUCGUAAAUAUUCAACCCCCUCACCUCAAAAGACAUUAUAGUGAUGUGUCAAGGAUAAUACAAAUAUAUGACAAAAAGGCAAAAAAUAUUUAUCUGUUACACACAAAUACAUCAUACAUUUUCUUUGUUGAUUUUAUGUUUCACUCAACUGAUAAGGAAGUUAUCCAAAGCAAAAUCUAGCUCUUUGAAAAAAACUUUCAUUGGUAAAUCAUUACAAUCUUUUUGGGGGUUGAAUAUUUCCGAUUGCAACUGUAAUUGACGCAAUUGAAUUGUUCAGUGAAAAAGUCAACUCAGUCCUCAGGAGCCUACUUAAGAAGUGUUGCUACUUACUAGCGGUCAGGUAAAAAGUUAGUUGCAUCUCCUCCUGCAUCUCGAACCGAAUCAGAGUAAGGUUCGGGCCAUUGAACGCCAAUUUGAUUGGACGCAAAAUUCAAAAGCUGGAGAGUGCUUCCUUCUCAGUCAAUUGUUCAUUUACAAAGUUGAGUAACCUAAUCUGUUUUAACAACCGUGUGGCUUUACAUCGCGGAUGUAAAAACAGCAGCUGAUGUCAGUAGGCCUAGGCUAGGAGACAACUGAGUUCAUGAACAAAAAGCUAAAAGGGGAUUUCUCAAUGAGAAGUGAAGAAGAGCCAACAGUGAGGAAUUACGUGAUUAGCCUACUUUCAUCAAAAACUACCGUCAGUCAGUCAGUCAGUCAGUCAGUCAGUGUUUUGCUCCCACUGUCGGUAACACGCUUCGGCCAGGAGCAAGACAAACAGCUUUAUGGUGGGCACCAAAAAAUUUGACACCAUCAAGGACCACAAAGUCUCCAAGUGCCACAAGGAGGUGAUCUGCAUCAUACAAUUCAGUUUCUGAUGAGGGAUUCUAAGGCGAGGGAGGGACAGAGAGGUGUGCGUGUGAUUGUUCAAGUUUGAUGUUAAAAGACUGUUCAAUGUUCUGUUUCUGUGCAUUUGAAGUGUAUGUGUGUGUGGUGUGAGGGAGAGAACAUUUUAAAAUGGAUAACAAUAAGUGAAUAAAUAUUAAAUCAAUACUUUUUAUGGGAAAAUGUCUAUUCGGGUUUUUUUUUUGCUUUAAAAAAAACAAAAAGUUAGUUACACACAAAAUCAAUUUAAUGAUUUUAGAAAAAACAUAAAAAAAAUUCCAUUCCUGCUGCACAGCCACGGAAAGAAUAAAUACUUUGAUGAUACCAAAAAAAAACAAAGCCAAUGAAUCUCCAAUGAUCCUCAACCAUAACUAUUUUAAUACACUGAAAACAACGGAAGGACUUCAACAGAACCAACAAACCCAAUCAAUAUUCAAGGCCAUAUUACGGAGGCUUUCAAAAUGCUAAACCAUGAGUAACUUGACUAAGCUUUUGUGUAUGUGUGUGCACUUUUUAAAUCUCCCACCUGAGGAGAUUUGGAGUGGAUUUCUGCAGUGGUAGAGGACAGAGGAGUGAGUGUGCAUACAACUCAGUGAGGAAUGACUGAAUCUCCUACUAUAAUGGCAUUUCAGAACAUAGGGAGUUCAGCCAAGCCCCCCCACUACGAUCCUGGCUAGAAAAUCUGCACCGUCCUCCCACCUACCAGCUCUGAGCCAUGAGAUUCAAUAGUCACACUCUUUCUGUCUCCCAUAUUCAAUGGGACAACAAUGGCCUCAGUGUGUUGUAUCUUACACUGUACUUAAGCCGCAUCCAACUGCUUAGAAUAACAAGAGAGCCCCAAAAUUCCAAUGUGAAACUCGGAAGAAUAUAUGCAAUUCAAUAUGGACCCAAGGCAGUAUUUCCAUCAUAGAUGUACUGCUUCAUUGGAAACACACAGCUGCCAAUUUUCCAUAGUAUGCAUGCAUCUGCCUGCCUGUCUGCUUUGAUUAAUGUGGAGAGACGGAGCUCAUCAGGUUUUGCAUAAUGAGGUGCUGAUAAUGACUGCAUUUGCCGCACCUUGCCUCUCAGGACUGAAGACAUUACUCCCCAUGUGUGAACCUUUAAUUACCCCUGUGUCUGUCCACCUUGCCUCUCAGGACUGGAGACAUUACUCCCCAUGUGUGAACCUUUAAUUACCCCUGUGUCUGUCCACUGGCUUGGGCUCUCAUUAGACCAUCACCUCAGAUACCCACACUGCUGGGGGUUGGGUGUGCCUGAUUGACUCUGUGUCCCAGCCCAUCACUGCAGAUACCCACACUGCUGGGGGUUGGGUGUGCCUGAUUGACUCUGUGUCCCAGCCCAUCACUGCAGAUACCCACACUGCUGGGGGUUGGGUGUGCCUGAUUGACUCUGUGUCCCAGCCCAUCACUGCAGAUACCCACACUGCUGGGGGUUGGGUGUGCUUGAUUGACUCUGUGUCCCAGCCAAUCACAAUGCAGAGCAGCUAGCCAUGAGCUUGUCUCAUGAUACCCCAUGUAUUGGGCUCUUGAGACCCAACAAGCAAGUCUGUAGUGUGAGACCCACUUUACAUAAAUUGAGUAAUCCAAAUACAUAAAUCAAACAAAGAAUGACAAACUGCCUUCACUGACAAACAUGAAGUUAAAUGACUCACCAUUAAAAACACCUUUUUAAAAACAAAAACACAGAACAUCUCAGACACCGCAUGAGAGGAGAAUACAAAAAGAUUCCCAUCUCCCAUUCAAGGGUUCCCAUCUCUAUGUUCUUUCUUUUCUGGUGGAAGAUGAAUGAUUUCGCCUAAAUUAUAGAGCAAGUUUAAGGGUUUCAUAAAGCUACUCAGAAUGGUGUAUACCUAUCAUUUUGCUGAUGGGGACAGAUAUGUAAUACUUUGCCUAUAAGGUUCUGAUCAGUUUUGCCCAUUUCAUAGAGAUGUGUAUCGGACACAGCCCCUCCAAAAGCAUAUGUUUUUUUUCCCCCGCAUUUUUAAACAUCCACUGCUCAAAAAGUAUUAAUCAUAUCCAACUAAUUUUUGUCUUCCUGCUGCAAAACAAACGUUUGUGGGUAUCUGUGCCGUUUCAAGGCCAGGUGAUUUAAUCUGGCAGAAACUGGCCUGUAAAAAUGGCUCCAGAAUGAAGAUCACAUGUGGAACACAUGGUUAAAAAUGAUUCACAUAAAUUCCCAUAAAGAACACAAUCUGAUGUAUAAAUAAUGCAGAAAUUGAAAAAAGGGUCUUUAACUUUAUUUAUUAAUUAUUGAAUUAAUAAUUCCCCCAGGGCUCUAAUAUUUGGCAUUUCUCCAUCAUAUGUAUUCAUCUUCCAGCAGAAACAUUUGAGGCACUGGCAUGAUUGCUUGUACUUUGGGACCGGUUAGAUAUUUGCUUCUAACGUCUCUCUCUACACCAAGUCUGCUCUGCAAGAAGUCACUCAGAGGUAACUGCGUUAUUGAAUAACCAAAUAGUCUGCCUAAUGAUGACCUUGUGCAGUAGCGUUACAACCCCCAGGGCCAGCACCAAGGCAAAGAGGUAAUAUUAUAAACCAAUCAUACAAGAGGAUAGGUGACUAGAAAACCCACUCUCUUUCACAUCUUGUCCUUCUACCAACAGCCAUUUGACCCCUGGUGGUCAGGCCAUCCUAGAACAUCCAAAUCUAAAAACAAAUUGGGUAAGUACGUAAAUAUAUAUAUAUAUAUUUUUAUUCCCAAAAGUAUAAUUUGACAAUAAGACAAUUCUAUGAAAGUGGCAUGGCUUUAAAUAGAUAUAUUUUCUAAAAGACAAGGGAAUCUAGACUAGGGAAGUAUCUUUGCUACUUUAUGGCACGGGGAAAAAAAUGGAGGACAAUUAUAGCCUAUCAAUUACAUGUCACUGUGUUUAUAACUUUUCCAAUAAACACAGUUAGACAAAAAAGACUUACUGUAGGAACAAACAUUUUGACAUUAUGAAUACAAACUGUCACAACUGAAAGACAGAUCUUAGAGCUUCAUGAACUUUGCAAGACCCCUCUAACACUGAAAACAAUAAUAGAUUAGUGUUGCCCUUCUACUCAGCUGCUGAUUUAAAGGCGAGGGGAUCUGUGAUCUGCUGUGCAGGGGUUGGUCUGGAAGAGUGUACAUUAUGGCUUACACCUUCAUAAAACAAGCAUGCUCCUAACACACAUUGUGAGAUAACUCCAUGUGGCUAGCGAGUUUCUGUCAUAUCAACAAUGAGAGGUAUGUAAUAUUAGCUCGGGUCCGCAGUUAAUAGAUAAACAGAGUUGACAGUUGAAUUUUGUCAUGAUGUUGCCAACGCUCGGUUAAACGGAUGCAUGGAAGACUUACUUCAUCCAUGAAAAUACCAGCACCACUGUUGAUUCAUUAAAGCCAAUAUUUCAGCUGACAUUUUACAUGUGUUCAUACAGUGACAGGAACCUCAAUAUGUUAACUCCGUCAGUUAUAAUUCCUUUUUGCUGUAUUUACCACAAAACCUCUGGUAAAACAAAACACUCUUGCACUUGUUGUCCACUCACGUCACAUUUAAUCAAUAAGCAACUUACAAAUAGUUUACUCAGUUGCAACACAGUUAUAGUCUGCAAGUUAGCAGAUCAGACAACAUUAGGUUAGGUCCAGAUUGACUGAGUCGGUCAGGUUACGGCAAAUCGUCCACAUUUUAAGGAGGGCCUUAACAUCUGCAGAGGAGAGCAUCAGAAUGUCAUAACCUACUUACACCAUUAUCUAACUAAAGCCUCUUUGGACAGCAUGUCAGAUCGGUGUGGUCAAACCCAUGGGGGAAAAAUGAUGAAAUGUCCAGAAAUGGAAAAAAAAAAAAAAAAAAAAAACACACAACAUGAAAAUAUGUAAAGCUGAUUACAUGAUGAGGGAUUCUUACACAACUGGUUUUCAGCAUAGACAGCCAUCUGUCAUCUGUGAAUGACUGGCUCGUUUUCUGCAUUGUUUGUGGAGCAAACAGGACUUCCUGAUAUCACGUUUCUAUAAAAAAAAUAUUCUUCAUUGAUUAUGUAGGCCAAUGCAUGGUACCCCAAACAAUUAUCAGUAAGAAUCACCAUUUUUCACACAAAGAACCAGUUGCUGGCAGAAGGGCUUUCCUCAACGCAUGGAAUCAAGGAAAGUCUUAACCUUUUGGACUCAAACCUUUUAACUACUGUGCAUACUUAGGUGGGGCUUGUUGUGGUCAUUGUUGCAUAUUAAUUAAAUGCAAGUAGAAUAGAAGCAUCAACUCUCUAUGUUUUCAACAUAGUCAAGCUGUGUAGCCAGCAAGUAAAACAAAACUGUAAAUGUACUGCAAUGGAAAGAAAAUGGUGAAUUAACCAUCAAGGACCUUGCAGGUUUAGUUUCACUGCAUCAACUCUGUGUGAACUUUCCCAACAUUAUUCAGACAGAGUUCCAGAAACAACUGUAACUGCAUCACAUUCAAUUUUCCUGUUUCCUGCAGCACAGUCCGAAAGCAAAAGAGAGGGAGAAAAGAUAAGAGACACCGAGAAAAAGAGCAGAGGGGGUGCACGAGGGAUCUAGUUUAAAAAAGGUGCUAGCAGUUUUGAAGCAGUGAUCCCUCUUUGUGUUGGCUGCCCAUGGUUCACUGCGCUGGCAGAAGGCUAAGAAAGAUGUAUGACUACCCAUCUUUUUUACAGUAUAUCAUUCGAGCACCAUGUUGUAGUGUUAAAUGAGCUCUGUGUGCAUUCACAUCUUUUUUCAGUCCCACAUAAAUAAGACUUCAUGACCAGGAAACUCAACCUGAUCCAAACCAAACAUUGUUAACAACCACAGCCCGGAGUACUGGGCACAGAGACAACAAGCAAACUAAUGUCUUCAUUAAACAGUAAAAUAGGCACAGAUUACCAGGAGUGCUGAACCUGCCAUACAAAAUCCAGGGCCAGGCUGAGGUAAUCUGUUGUUGUUUUUAGUUUUUUUUUGCCUGAGGGAGGAACACAUCAGACUAUUGUUCCAGGGCCUUUAUGGGACCACAGACUGAAGACCUUGGGAUCGUCAUGUUCUGUAUGACAUCAUCCGCUGGAACAACUGAGGGUGAAACAGUCACAAUAACCACAGAGGGAGUAUGAAGUUUGCCCUGCAUGUCCCCUCAGGUAAAUUAAAUGACUGAUGAAAAUCCUUCAGGGCUUUCAAAAUCACUAAAUGUUUCCAGAACAUUAAUCUGCUGGAAGAAGGUAGGUAUAUUUCUUUCUCCACUGGAAGUUUCUUCAAUGUAGUGUUUCAAUUAGAAUAUUCAAGAAACUGUUACAUUUCCUUUCAGCAUUUUCAUGCCAUAGACUACUGAAUGUGAUUCACUAGCUAACUGGCCUACACAUUAGGGUCCUCUAGGUGAGAAUAUUAUUAAAAUACAUAAAAAUAGGCCUACAUAAAUCCUGUGUGCAUAUUAACUUUGUAUACAUGCCACAUUGCAUGAAAGAGAAAACACCUCACUAGAUCUAUGCUAAUUGAGCUUGGUGAGGACAAAGAACAGAGCCCAGAACAUAUUACUAAACUCCUGUCGAGGAAAUUACCUCUGGAACAGCCUUAUGCAAAUCAAUGACAAUGAUUUCCAUGCCCCACGCAGCUGUAUUUGUGAUCUAUGCUGUUUACAAUACAAACACCUGCCUUCUGAACAAUGCAACGAACAAAGUAAGAAUCGUAGCCCAACAAUGUGAAUUGCAAAUGACACCUUGUCGCCUUUGAGUGCGACUACCGUUGCUAUCUAUAAACACUGACGUGCAAAGGUUCGUUUGAAAUGAAUGAGUCUCUUUAAUUAUCUUUAAUGUCUACUACCUAACACUGUGCAGCUUCUAUCUUCCUAUUGAGAUUACGGACUACUACACGGGUGUCAGAGAAAGACAAGUCGAAGGUCAGUGUAUAUUGAGCAACUGAGGCCUGUGCCAUACCGCUUACCUCACCUGUGCGUGGCGGCUUUUCAUUUCGGCACCCACAGGUUAAGUUAGAGCAGCCUGUGUGAGACGCGCGUCUGAGGCGCGGCUCGUCAGCUACCAUUUCGGCGUGGAGACUUAUUUUUCACCCGUGAGGUGCGCGUUUCUCAGCCAAAUUAGACAGCAAAAAAGACAAAAAUAAACAAGCUAGCAGUAGUAGCACCUCAACGAUGUGGCCAUACACUUGCGUGCGAACCUCAGCAGCUCGGCAAGGUUGCAGUCACGCACAGGUAAGGUAACGUUAAGCGAUGUGGCCCAGGCGUGAUGCAAAAACAGAAGACAAGUUCACUUACCGCGUCUUUCUCCUCAGGCCCACUUUCCGGUGGAUCCGAACUGCUCAACUUUCUCUUCUCGGUCCUCUUCAUGGUGUAGGUAGUACCUGGAUUCAAUCAAGAGCUAGUAGACGGAGUCAUUCAUUGAAACUUGUGCGAUUCCCCGCUUGUGGGUUUAGCAGGUUAGCCUUUUAUCUGUCCAACACAUUGGUCAACGUUGUGGUUUGCAGAAAUUCAUUACGUUUCUGGAACACUCCAUCAAGAUAAGGUAGUGGUAUUUUCUCACAAAAUAAAAGCCCACACAACAAAGUGUUUCUGCGUUGAUUUUUGUCGCGAACAGUGAGAGCAAGCUAACUAACUAGCAACUUCAGUCGCACUGGCUUGUUGGUUACGUUUGAAACUACAUGAUGAGGCUUGUCAUUCGGUGGAGUCUUGAUGCUAAGUUCAUGUUGGCUAGCACUUCGCGCGAGAGGCUAGCUAUCAGUGCCCAGACUGAAAAGUUAGUAUCAACGUAUGCAAAGGCAUACAAAUAAUCAAAAACUGUGGACUUUCAAUGAAAACAAAGAUGUUCGACACCGACUUCACGUACUAAGUGACGUCAUCACCGUAAUGUUCCGUUUAAAACAGCUAAGUUAAUUUCAGUGACCAUCAAAGCUUUCAAGAAAUGAAACAAUUGCGAAUAGUUGCUGAGCCAGUUUACACCACGAAUCCGACCUACCGGGUCCCCGUCGAGUAAAAUUUCGUUAGCUUAGCUAACGUUAGCUGUGACAAUUUAAACAGAACUAGUAUCACUGUUCUGUCCUAUCACCACAGUUGUCUCCUCCAACGCCGGAGCUAGCUUCCUUGAGCUAAAAUAUAAUGUCAUUGAAUAUCCCAUGAAAAACGUUUCUUGGCAACACAACAAAUGUAGAUUCUUCUUCGGUUCCCGCGGCGAUAUGCUUAUGUUUCAGCGAAGUAUGUCAAUUACACCAUGUAUCCCCUGCACGUUUAGCUCGCGUUCCGCUGGAGACACGUACUGACAAGUAUCGCAUGUCCAGUCUGUCAGGUAGGUGUAAAAUGUGCGACACAACCGCUUCUUGUCUGCAUUGGACUGGUAACGUGUGAUGCUAUUGAAGAAUGGGUUCAUCCGGUUAGCGAGAUACCUUCUCCUCCAGUACCCCCACAGGCGGUGAUAUAUUGCUGCAGAUGCAAUACCCCGGCAACCAGUGUGAAGAUCUCCACAUGACUUGCUUCCUGAAUCUUGUCUCAAGCGUAAUGUCAGUGGAUGUUUACUUGAUAACUGAUCGAAGGUCAGAGUGACUAAUACGUUGACCAAAUGCUAUAACGUAAAGGGAGUUUAGGCUGAUUUCACAUCAGUUUAAAAAUCAGCAAGGAAAAAUGCAGACGAAAAAAAAGUGAGGCUGUUUGCUGCUUAGCCGGUUAGUUAUUUUGCAGUUUGCUGCCAUCUUCUGUCUGCUGACAGUUGUUACCCUUCUCAAUGGAUUUUAAAAUGACUGCAUCGAUAUGUUACGAUCCAGAUUGAAUUUCUGUUAUUUACAUGUUGGUUAAUGCACUUAAACCUGCACGUGUUUCGAUACACGGGAAAUGUAAUUCAUUUUGGCCUA